RNAcentral lists this transfer RNA (74 nucleotides) under Crassvirales sp. RNAcentral's name for it is "tRNA-Ile". It matches the Rfam family "tRNA". From Rfam's summary of the family: Transfer RNA (tRNA) molecules are approximately 80 nucleotides in length. The record is from RNAcentral. Lineage: Duplodnaviria; Heunggongvirae; Uroviricota; Caudoviricetes; Crassvirales.
ACUCCUUUAGUUCAGUCGGUUAGAGCACCAAGCUUAUACCUUGGGAGUCGUAGGUUCAAGUCCUACAAGGAGUA